Molecule: long non-coding RNA, 341 nt
Filed under: Physcomitrium patens
Lineage: Eukaryota; Viridiplantae; Streptophyta; Bryopsida; Funariales; Funariaceae
Description: long non-coding RNA (PPAT_LNC008815)
Source: RNAcentral
AUCAUCUAACUCCAUUGUUGUAUCUAGUUAUUGAUGUAGUUUUGUUCUUACUUGUUGUUAAGUGCAUUGAUAAUCUUGGAGGUUGUUAGAUACCUUAGAAUGAUAUUUUAGAAUACUAGUAUUGUGUUUCUUUGCUAAUUUAUAUCAUUUGUGAUCUAUCAUUGUGAUUUUAUGUGAUAAACUUCCCUUGAGAUCCUUUUAUAGUAAUAAGAAGUGUUUUGUAAGCUUAGAAAUAUUUCAGGAGAGAAGAGGGUUGAUUGAAGACAGAUAAAGCUCAUAGAAGAGGAUAAGAUAGAAUAUAAGACUUGUGAGAAGUCUUAUAAGUGAAAUUGAGAGUGAUU